This 462-nucleotide ribosomal RNA is filed under the name uncultured bacterium. Its description in RNAcentral is "partial 16S ribosomal RNA". It matches the Rfam family "Bacterial small subunit ribosomal RNA", at positions 28 to 507 of the family's 1533-position model. The record is from RNAcentral.
GACGAACGCUGGCGGCGUGCUUAACACAUGCAAGUCGAACGGUAAGGCCUUUCGGGGUACACGAGUGGCGAACGGGUGCGUAACACGUGGGUGAUCUGACCUGCACUUCGGGAUAAGCCCGGGCAACGGGGACUACGACCGAAUCGGGCUGCGCGGUGCAUGCCCUUUGGUGGGAAGUUUUAUCGGUUCAGGAUGGGCCCGCGGCCUCUCAGCUUGUUCGUGUGGGAAUGGCCUUCCAAGGCGAAGGCGGGUAGGCGGCCUGAGAGGGGGACCGGGCACACUGGGAAUGAGACACGGCCCAGACUCCUACGGGAGGCAGCAGGGGGGAAUAUUGCAAAAUGGGCGCAAGCCUGAUGCAGCGACGCCGGGGGAGGGAUGACGGCCUUCGGGUUGUAAACCUCUUUCAGCAGGGACGAAGCGGGAGUGACGGUACCUGGAGAAGAAGCCCCGGCCAACUACGUG